UUUCCGUAGGUGAACCUGCGGAAGGAUCAUUAUCGUACAAAAUGUGAGGGGCAUGCCACGGCUGCCGCUGACCCAAAAGUCAUGGACGCGCCAGUGUGUCCUAUUGCAUCAAACUCCAUAUCACUCUUUGUGAAUCAAAGCGUAGGCAACUUCCGGGCCCUUCCCGGCCGGGGGCUUGCGUUUUCCCCCUAACCCCUCUUCUCAACGUGUCCAAUGCCCUCAAUUAUGUUUUCAAUUCAACUUCCACCCACGGAUCUCUUGGCUCUCGCAUCUAUGCAC
RNAcentral lists this unclassified non-coding RNA (279 nucleotides) under plant metagenome. Its description in RNAcentral is "partial contains small subunit ribosomal RNA, internal transcribed spacer 1, and 5.8S ribosomal RNA". The record is from RNAcentral.